Lates calcarifer (barramundi perch) is the source of this 1660-nucleotide long non-coding RNA. RefSeq lists it as uncharacterized. The record is from RefSeq and is a predicted model, not a curated record. Lineage: Eukaryota; Metazoa; Chordata; Actinopteri; Centropomidae. The transcript has 3 exons.
CCAGACGCCCGGAGUCCGCAAGAAGCUGGAGCUGAGCAGUCCAGAGAAGAUGACCCGAGAGGACAUCCUGAGCCAGCUGCUGGACCAGGAGCUGGAGUCGGGGAAGGAAGUCCUGUCUUCCAGAAGUGGAGAGAGCCUAGAGGAGUCACUGAAGAGAUCCAUGACAGAUGAGUGAAUAACACACCUGUACGUCACCACAGAGUGUUUUUGUUUCUCAAAAUGUAGAAAAUAGUCGACCUCAUCCUUCAAGAGAAAAAUCCACAAACAUGCGCUAUGAAGCAGAAACUUCACACUUUGUCUCUGAAAGUCGUCGUAUCGUUGAGCGUUUCUUUUGGAAGAGAGACCAAGACCACAAAUAACAAGAUAACUCAUCUAAAAAGCAGAAUCACACACCGAUUCAGAGAAUCACAGCAGUAUUUAAAAUAUCAGAAAGCAGGAAUGAGGGACUGUGUGUUCUUUUACUUUGCUAAGAGGAAGAAGAAAAGGCUGUUUGGAUGAAAGUCAGGUAUAAAUGCAGCCUCUGAACACUUGUUAUUGUCUGUCUGUGACAGCUGGUUGUCUUGCAGCAGAAUCCUCUCGUCGUGUGAUGAAUUCCUGUGUUUGUGUCCUCAGACAGGGAAGUCGGUCAGCAGCUCGUGUCCUGACGGUUGGACUCACUACAGGAGACGUUGUUACAUCCUCAGCUCGUCUGUGGCCAGCUGGGCCAGCGCCGAGAGGACCUGCUCUCUGCUCUUUAACAGCAGCCUGACCAGCGUGAAGUCCAGGAGAGACAUGACCUGGCUGUGGAAGUUUGCCGGGAAGAAGCCAUUUUGGAUCGGUGAGUGAACGCUUUCAUCAGUGACGGAUUCAACGUGCAACAAAGAUUCACAAGGUCCAGAACCGUUGUGUUCUGUGUUCAGUCCUGAAAACUCCCUGCAGGCUUUGUGCCAUUCUUUGAAGUGUUAUUACAGGCCUAAUAAGUCUUGAAUUUAAUGUGGGGGACCUGCAGAAAUCCUCAUGGACCACAGUCCAGUUGACAGCAGUAUCAUUAAUAUUCUCUGAUUGUUUCAGGUCCACUGAUAAACUUGUCUUCUUUUUGUUUGCUUGCACCUUGGUAACAUUUUCAGGACUUUUAAGGCUGCGAUCGUGCUUCAUCACCUGAUACUGUGACUUUCAUCAGGCUGAAACAAGUGAUUUAUGUAAAGUCCAGAUACAGAAAAAAGAGAUUUAGGAUGAGAAUACUAAAUCAUCCCCAGUGUCUGCUGAGUGUCCCGGUCAGGAUCCGUCACUGUCCAGUUUCCAGGUAGCCCACUCCUCUUCCAUGUUCCUCAGGUCUGUCUGGAGGUCCGGGUCGCUGGAUGUGGGCUGACGGUCGGUCCGUGUCCUUCUCCAGACUGAGGGGGGCGCCGCAGGGUCGCGUCGGGUCUAACGACGGCUCGGACUGUGUGCUGGUCGAAAACCCCAGGAGCUGGAUUUCCACGAGCUGCUCUGCCGAAACUCAACAUACAUUCAUCUGUUCGUCGGCGGCCCACACUCACUGAGAGACGCGGCAUAUUUACCGCCAUCAGCCCGUCAUAACGACCCGUGUGAACUAAGUCAUAUUUAAUGUUACGCAAUGACGCUGCUCUGUACAUUAGGUUUCAUAUGUUUGUCAUAAUAAAGAUUGCUGCGCAAAACUAAA